Molecule: ribosomal RNA, 492 nt
Filed under: uncultured soil bacterium
Lineage: Bacteria
Description: bacterial SSU rRNA
Rfam family: Bacterial small subunit ribosomal RNA
Source: RNAcentral
AGGACGAACGCUGGCGGCGUGCUUAACACAUGCAAGUCGAGCGGAAAGGCCUUUCGGGGUACUCGAGCGGCGAACGGGUGAGUAACACGUGAGUAAUCUGCCCAUCGCUUCAGGAUAGCCAUCGGAAACGGUGAUUAAUACUGGAUAUGACAUUCCUUCGCAUGUUGGGGUGUGGAAAGUUUUUUCGGCGGUGGAUGUGCUCGCGGCCUAUCAGCUUGUUGGUGGGGUAAUGGCCUACCAAGGCUUUGACGGGUAGCCGGCCUGGAGACGGGGUGACCGGCCAACGACGUGGGACUGAGACACGGCCCAGACUCCUACGGGAGGCAGCAGUGGGAAUAUGGACAAUGGGCGAAGCUGAUCCAGCAACGCCGCGUGAGGGAUGGACGGCCUUCGGGUUGUAAACCUCUUUCAGCACAGACGAAGUUUUGCUUUUUGGGUGAAGUGACGGUAUGUGCAGGAAGAAGGACCGGCAACUACGUGCCAAGCAGCCGC